GGUCUUGUACACACCGCCCGUCACACCACGGGAGUUGGAGACGCCCGAAGCCGAUUAUCUAACCUUUUGGAAGAAGUCGUCGAAGGUGGAAUCAAUAACUGGGGUGAAGUCGUAACAAGGUAGCCGUAUCGGAAGGUGCGGCUGGAUCACCUCCUUUCUAAGGAGAAUU
This 169-nucleotide ribosomal RNA is filed under the name Clostridioides difficile. RNAcentral's name for it is "partial 16S ribosomal RNA". It matches the Rfam family "Bacterial small subunit ribosomal RNA", at positions 1377 to 1533 of the family's 1533-position model. Lineage: Bacteria; Bacillati; Bacillota; Clostridia; Peptostreptococcales; Peptostreptococcaceae. The record is from RNAcentral.